UACGUAGGGUGCGAGCGUUGUCCGGAAUUAUUGGGCGUAAAGGGCGCGUAGGCGGCCUUCUAAGUCGAACGUGAAAUCCCCGGGCUCAACCCGGGAACUGCGUCCGAUACUGGGAGGCUUGAAUCCGGGAGAGGGAUGUGGAAUUCCAGGUGUAGCGGUGAAAUGCGUAGAUAUCUGGAGGAGCACCUGAGGCGAAGGCGGGCUACUGGGCCGAUACUGACGCUGAUGCGCGAAAGCCAGGGGAGCGAACGGG
This 253-nucleotide ribosomal RNA is filed under the name uncultured bacterium. RNAcentral describes it as "partial 16S ribosomal RNA". It matches the Rfam family "Bacterial small subunit ribosomal RNA", at positions 524 to 776 of the family's 1533-position model. The record is from RNAcentral.